Long non-coding RNA from Clupea harengus (Atlantic herring), 1244 nucleotides. The record is from Ensembl. NCBI's taxonomy places the organism in Eukaryota, Metazoa, Chordata, Actinopteri, Clupeiformes, Clupeidae.
AAAGGUCUUGGUAAUCUGAGUUUUCUUUAAUUCGGUUUUUUGAGGGGUGACUCAAGCCCCACAAAGCAGUCAAAGAUCACAAGGAUUAAUGAUGGGGUCUAAAAUACUUAUUCACUCUGAGCUAGAGACAAACAUUUAAACACACCACACUAAAAUGACAGACUAACAGAAAUGUAAAGCUACCCUAGUUACUGGAACUAGCACCCUGACGCCCUUCUUGUCUUUCAGUACGCCCCUAAUUGACAAUAAGGAACCCAGUGACAUCACUGAAAAUAAGUACUGGUUGUGUUAAUACUAAUGAGACCACAUUUUUGUGACAAAUAUUACAUUUAUCUGUAGUUGUCUAGUUUUCUCCCAAGACAAUCCAAACUUUUGAAAUUACAAAAUGAUGCUUUGGGGAUUCUUCCCAACCAAGUCUCAGUCAGUUUUCUGAAAUGUAUGAAAAUAAAAUGAACAAAUAACAUAACAGUUGAAGAAGUUGUAUUCUAAAAAGAUACACGUUAAUCUACGAUAGAGAGCGUACAGACCUGUACUGAAUUAAAGCAGUAAAAACAAAACAAAAAGUUAACCAUUGAAUAUUAAAUACUGUAUGUUUUUUUUACAGCAAACACGUUUUGUAAUGAAGAGAGCACGAUAUGCAAUCCACAUUUCAUGGCCAUCUGGCCUCUUUGUCCUUGUCCUCCACCUCUGUGGAAGAAUCUCACACAUUUGCACUGCUUUGAGCUAGUCCUCACUUACUAGAUGAAAAUCAUCUCCAUACAUGGUAUCGGUUCAUAUAGUGAGAAUAUUCCAGUCAUGGAGUGCAAGCCUUUUCAGGAAGUUGAGUCCUGGGCUUUUUGUGAUGAUUCCAAAGGGGUUCUGGGUAACAGCGAGACCAGAUUGGUACCCAUAUUGCACAGUCCACACAGACCCAGUAGACCCAGAGACAGAUCCCUCUGUAGCAAUUUAACAAAAUCAAACGUGUAUAAGAAGUCCACAUAGUGGACUGAUGAACACUGACAUUAGACAGUACGGAGCGAUUGUCAGUUUUUGCUGCCUCGAGAAUAGUUUUAAAUGGCCGCCGAGUCAAAUUGUGGCCCUUAAUACACUAGAAAUGUAGUGGCAGAACGUGAAUCAGGGCGGCCAUGCCAGACAGCUCAAUGACACACAGUUGACGUUCUUCUGUAUUGAGGAAUGGGUUCAGAUUCCUCCAAGUUGUUGUGAGGCACUGAUCAACAGCUAUUGGAAAUGUUCAGUCAGUCAUA